CAUUGAGAUAUGGUGGAGAACUAGUGAUAAAAUACUAUAUAAUUAGUCAUAUUACUUUAAAUGGACAUAUCCAUCAUUAUUCGGUGCUUUUGUUAUAUAUCUGAAGAUGCUCGGAAGUUAUUCCAUUGAAGACCAUCGUUGAGGACAACAAUUAAUGAAGAACGCUGAAAAUAUACACCAAACUUAUUCAAUGACGUUCGUCGACUUGGAAGAAGAAGAGGACAUCAGGUUAAGUAUCAGCUCAGAGUCAGAAGAGCAUCAGUUUGAUAAUUGGAACCUGACACACUCCGAUCCUUUUCGUCCACUACCCAUUCCAGACACUCCGAUAGAUACACCGCCGGAGACACCACCAGAGUCACCGACAACAGUUCCAAUACAUCAUGUACCUCCACCACGUGCUCCACCACCUCCCAUCCCAUACUUCCCCUUGCCUGUCUUGAAUCCUCCGUCAGGAAUUUGACCUGAAAAUCACCAUUUCAACAAGGCCAAAAUUUGCCAAGCUUCAAUAAUCUUGGCCAACCAAUAUUUAAUUUACUAUAUUUUCUAGCUAACUCGUUACAAUUUUUUUGAUAGGGAACAAAGCACUCACCGAGAAGUACAAAACACGUUACAAGCUAGCCCUGAUAGGUGAUUGGGAAACGGCUAGGGAAAAGUUCUUCAACAUUGAUUCUGAAUCAAUAACGGCAUGGAUCACUAUGUUCUCAGAGACAGCUCUGCACAUAGCUGCCAAAGCAGGACAUGAAAAUUUUGCCGUGGAACUUGUGAAACUUAUGCCACCGGAAGCACUUGUACACCAAGAGUAUAACAAUGGUGAUACGACACUUCAUCGUGCUGCCAUUACUGGAAUUACUAAAGCAAUGGUGGAAAAGAAUCCUAUCGUGGUACAAAUUCGUAAUAAGAAGGGGUGGAUUCCACUUUUAAGUGCUAUUUAUGGAUCUUCCUAUCAGCAAAGAGAAAUGAUAGAGUUUCUUUUAUCUGCUCACCUGCGGCAUAAGAAUCGGAGUCCUUUCUCUGGUCGUAUCGGUGGUGAACUUAUAUGUACUUUGAUUAGAGCUGGCUUCUUCGAUAUUGCAACAAAAUUGAUCGACGACCACCCAAACCUGGCUGUUAAGAAAGAUAAAGAUGAUUCAUGUGCAUUAGAAGUCCUGGCUGAAAUGCGUUACGCAUUUCCAAGUGGAAGUCGGUUAGUAUCAUGGCAACGCUACGUCUACUCACAUAUUACUGUUGACCUCCCUGAAACACGUCAACACCAUGACACCGAGAAUCCUCCAGCGAGUUCGCGAAAUAUCUCAACUGCAAGUCUCACAACAAAGUUCCUCAGCAUUACCCAGUUAGCCACAGGAUGGAUGAAGGAACUACUUAGGAAAGUUCCAUGCGUUAAAAAGGUCUAUGACCAAAAAUUGAUGCAUAGAGAGGCUUUGGAAUUGGUUAGAUGCAUAUAUGCCACUACAAAACAGAAGGUUUCUAGGGACGGCUCAUUCUCAAAAAACCAUCCCCAGAAUGCAGAAGUUGGGACGAACCCGUUUAGCCGUCCUUAGCGAUGUAUUUGAGACCGUGCCAAAAAAACCAUCCCAACUGGUCCAUUAUUAGGGACGAACUAUAUCCGAGUGUCACUACUGGUGUACUAGUAGGGACGAAUUUUUUCGUGCGUCCCUAAAAGCUUCUAGCCGUUCCAGUAAGUAGAAUCAUCCAAUGGUGGUGAUUAUAUCGUCGGUAACUUAACUUCUGUACUCCCUAGAACAUAGUGAAACUAAUCUAUUUCAUUUUUCCUCUCAAGUUUUCAUCGCCUAUUCUGCUCAUGUUUUCAUCGACUCUACUAAAACCCUAAAACUCUCCUUCGUGCGAUUCGUCGUCACUUUCUUCUCCAUCUCCUUCGUGAUACUCAUCAGAAGUGAAAUCUUCACUUUCUUCUGCUAUAAGUCUGUCAAAUCUAGCAGAUGCCCAUCAUGCAAACUUAGGGUGCAUAUUGCUGGUGUUGGCGAUUAGGUUCAUAUCAUCGCAGGAUCAUUCGCUGGCUUGCAUGCUCAUAAUCAUCGACCGCUACUAACUUAUAAAGUAAUGGUAUUGUUAAAUUUGUCAAGUUUUAUGUAACUAUCACCAAGUAAUUCAUUACUAAUUUGGGUAUGUUCUGCGUUUUUUCCUCUUUCUGUUGUGUAUGGGACUUUUAUGUGCAUGUGUGACUAGUGGUUUCCGUUAAUCGUAAGUUUAUUCCUUGGUCAGUUUGUAGAAACCAUGGAUAAGAGUUGGGUUCACAAGUAUCGGUCGGGUAAAGAGUAUGAAGAUGGUUUGAGGAUGUUCUUGGACCAUGCAUUCAAGGAAGGGGUUGUUACUGAAGAUAACAAAAUGAAAUGUCCUUGCACAAAGUGCAAUAAUGUUAAUUACAAAGUUAGAAGUGAAAUAUUCAGUGACUUGAUAUCGCACGGUAUGAUGAGAAAUUAUACUACAUGGUUUCAUCAUGGUGAGAGUUUAAGCUCAACGGUCUCAUCAAGUAUCGCACCACAAGAUACAUGUUUUGAGGUCGGAAAUAACAAUAAUGAUGGACCAGGGGAUGACCUUUUGGGCAUGUUGCGAGCUGUGUGUGGAAUACCAAGAAAGAUAAAGAGUUGGCGGCUAAAAAUAAACUAAAAGGUCCAAACAAACAAUUCAACACACUGGUGGCUCCAAGCCACAUGGAAUAUGCAAAAGAGAUGCUAGCCGAAACAAGAAGAUUCCCUGAACGGCAUGAAGUAUUUCUUAGGACCAGGACAAAGAAAAGAAAAACAUCAGAUCCAAAUGAAGUGAUGGAUCCUGUUGCUUCUGAACAAUAUGAUCGAAUGGUGGAAAUACACAAGCAGGCUAACCAACCUGGAUCUGGAGUCGUUUUAGGUGGAUGAAAUGAUGCAUUUGCAGCUGUUAUGGGACCAGAUAGACGUGGUCGGAUUCGUUGCUUUGGCAGCACUGUGAAGCCGAAACAGUUUUGGGACGAGUCAUCAUCAUCAAGUAGAGUUGUUCAAUUGAAAGAGGAAAAUGCAAUGCUCAAACGAAGGGUUGCAGAUUGGAGGCUCAAGUUGCAGUAUUACCACCAAACCAGAACAAUGAAGGACUCGAGGAUAUGUGAUAUGGAAAGGUGCAGGAAGGGUUAGCUUCCAGAUAUUAACAGAUGAUAAAAUAGCACUCAAAGCAGGCCACUGAUUGUAGUUAACAAAUGAUAAACAGAGACACCAUUUACUGUAGAGAGUGUAUGAACCUAAAUUUUUGCUUGUUUUUUGAGAA
Molecule: RNA transcript, 3252 nt
Organism: Papaver somniferum (opium poppy)
Lineage: Eukaryota; Viridiplantae; Streptophyta; Magnoliopsida; Ranunculales; Papaveraceae
Exons: 10
Source: RefSeq, a predicted model, not a curated record